Molecule: ribosomal RNA, 416 nt
Filed under: uncultured Anaplasma sp.
Lineage: Bacteria; Pseudomonadati; Pseudomonadota; Alphaproteobacteria; Rickettsiales; Anaplasmataceae
Description: bacterial SSU rRNA
Rfam family: Bacterial small subunit ribosomal RNA
Source: RNAcentral
GAAUUCAGAGUUUGAUCAUGGCUCAGAACGAACGCUGGCGGCAGGCUUAACACAUGCAAGUCGAGCGCCCCGCAAGGGGAGCGGCAGACGGGUGAGUAACGCGUGGGAACGUACCUUUUGCUACGGAAUAACUCAGGGAAACUUGUGCUAAUACCGUAUGUGCCCUUCGGGGGAAAGAUUUAUCGGCAAAGGAUCGGCCCGCGUUGGAUUAGCUAGUUGGUGAGGUAAAGGCUCACCAAGGCGACGAUCCAUAGCUGGUCUGAGAGGAUGAUCAGCCACACUGGGACUGAGACACGGCCCAGACUCCUACGGGAGGCAGCAGUGGGGAAUAUUGGACAAUGGGCGCAAGCCUGAUCCAGCCAUGCCGCGUGAGUGAUGAAGGCCCUAGGGUUGUAAAGCUCUUUCUCCGGUGAAGA